CCUACGGGUGGCUGCAGUGGGGAAUAUUGGACAAUGGGGGCAACCCUGAUCCAGCCAUGCCGCGUGUGUGAAGAAGGCCCUCGGGUUGUAAAGCACUUUCAGUGAGGAAGAACGCCUGGUGGUUAAUACCCAUCAGGAAAGACAUCACUCACAGAAGAGGCACGGGCUAACUCCGUGCCAGCAGCCGCGGUAAUACGGAGGGUGCGAGCGUUAAUCGGAAUUACUGGGCGUAAAGCGCGCGUAGGUGGCUUGAUAAGCCGGUUGUGAAAGCCCCGGGCUCAACCUGGGAACGGCAUCCGGAACUGUCAAGCUAGAGUGCAGGAGAGGAAGGUAGAAUUCCCGGUGUAGCGGUGAAAUGCGUAGAGAUCGGGAGGAAUACCAGUGGCGAAGGCGGCCUUCUGGACUGACACUGACACUGAGGUGCGAAAGCGUGGGUAGCAAACAGGAUUAGAUACCCCGGUAGUC
Molecule: ribosomal RNA, 465 nt
Filed under: Vreelandella stevensii
Lineage: Bacteria; Pseudomonadati; Pseudomonadota; Gammaproteobacteria; Oceanospirillales; Halomonadaceae
Description: partial 16S ribosomal RNA
Rfam family: Bacterial small subunit ribosomal RNA
Source: RNAcentral